Molecule: non-coding RNA, 92 nt
Organism: Mycena filopes
Lineage: Eukaryota; Fungi; Basidiomycota; Agaricomycetes; Agaricales; Mycenaceae
Source: the annotation of a GenBank genome assembly
CACCCAAUAGCAUAUGGUGUGCACCUGCCUGGCAUGAGAACGAUAUGCAUGGUUGCAAGCAGGAGGCCCUCGUUCGAUUCGGGGUUGGGUGA